Ictalurus punctatus (channel catfish) is the source of this 845-nucleotide long non-coding RNA. NCBI's taxonomy places the organism in Eukaryota, Metazoa, Chordata, Actinopteri, Siluriformes, Ictaluridae. The record is from Ensembl.
GAACUAACGCACUGAUUGGUAGAUAAUUACAAAAGGCGGUCCUCUUCGUCUGGUCUGUUGUUUGCUGCUGAGACCGGUUUCAGUGUAAAGUUAAUUAACGGGGUUUUUCACCGUGUGCCAUUUUAAAAUAUGGCAGCUACUGCUGAGAUCAGCAGUGAUUUUCCCGGUCAAACUUUGCCAAUGUCGCCAUCAAUUAACAUUUUCAUGAUUUUCUGAAGGUGAUAUAAGACAAGAACAUGUGGAAAUGUGUCUGAUCAUCGCAACUCUAUCCUUGAUGUGCCAGUGGGGAGCUUACUCGAAGACACCAAUCUUCAGCCCCCCAACUCCUUGCAUUUGACUUCCUCUAUAGGGAUAAUACUUGGAGGCCAAGUGGUGAUGGACAAAAUGCAGGAUGUCUCAUAAGCAAUGUGUCUUCUCUUUGGUCUUAUUUAUGCGUUAGACCCAAAUUCCCUCGCAAACACGUUUGAUGUCAAUGGGGCAGAACACCCUCAAUCCUAAAGUACAGUCUUUGGCAAACCAACUUUUUGGUGAAGAAAAAUGUUUAGGUCUCCUUGUUGCAGAUUUUGAGUCAGCAUUGUUAGAUUUACAUACUCAGAGCAAUUUUUUUUAAUUGAUUAACUGGAUUAUCCAUAAAUGAAGGAGAAAAAGUAUAAUAGUAUUUUAAAUUGUUUAAGUGCACAGAGUUCUUCCACUGAUGGAGUGCAGUAGUUAAUGUGGGACAUUGUUACCAAGUCUUCAGUGCUGUACAGUGUGGUCGUGACACAUUUCCAUUAUAGUAUAGUGUGUACUGUAAUUUCAUUAAUUUUGUGAACAUUGGUCAAUAAAGACAUUCAAUAUGCUAUUCA